This is a long non-coding RNA of Mesocricetus auratus (golden hamster), 219 nucleotides long. RefSeq lists it as uncharacterized. The record is from RefSeq and is a predicted model, not a curated record. NCBI's taxonomy places the organism in Eukaryota, Metazoa, Chordata, Mammalia, Rodentia, Cricetidae. The transcript has 3 exons.
UUCUGCUUUGAUCAGCUACUGGGUCAAGGCUCUAGGAAUGGUAACCAAGGAAUUGUGUACACACAGUUGUGUGUCUGAUCAUUUUCGGAUGUUUGCCCCUUUUGAAACCUUUCUCUGGGGAUUAUUAACUUCACAGAGAAGGCCUACCCUGCCCGCCCACAGAUGGACACAGGUCAAGGACCGCUAGGACUGUCACACAGAGAAACCCUGUCUCAAAAA